Molecule: ribosomal RNA, 963 nt
Filed under: Triticum aestivum (bread wheat)
Lineage: Eukaryota; Viridiplantae; Streptophyta; Magnoliopsida; Poales; Poaceae
Description: partial small subunit ribosomal RNA
Source: RNAcentral
AUGAUUGUGGUCGCUGCAACCAACAACCUCGAUUCACUAGAUCAAGCCCUUGUUAGGUCUGGGCGUUUCGACCGUCACAUUCAGAUUCAUUAUCCAAAUGUUGAGGGCCGACGACAGAUCCUCGAGGCUCAUAUGUCAAAGGUGUUGAAAGCCCAGGACGUGGAUCUUCUGACCAUCGCGAAGAGGACAUCUGGGCUCUCAGGAGCGAACCUGGCAAACCUGGUGAACGACGCCGUUCUCAAGGCUGCCAAGGACGGGGCAGAAGCUGUUGCGACGCAUCACCUGGAGUAUGCCACGGACAGGAUUCUAGUGGGCGGUGAGCGCAGAUCGGUGGCGAUGCCUGAUAACUGCAAGAGGAUGACCACGUACCAUGAGGCAGGGCACGCCAUCGUUGCUAUCCACACGGAUGGCGCUGAUCCCGUCCACAAGGCUACCAUUGUUCCCAGGGGUGAUUUUCUCGGCAUGGUGUGGCAGCUGCCGGAGGAGGCCGAUGAGUUUAUAUAUUCAAAGAAGAAGAUGCUCGCAGGACUAGAUGUUCUCAUGGGAGGCCGGGCGGCUGAGGAGGUUAUCUUUGGUGAGAGCGAGGUGAGCUCCCUUGCCCUGACUGACAUGGGCGAGGCGACCCAGCUGGCGACGGACAUGGUUGCCAGGUAUGGCAUGAGCAAGCAGGUCGGCCCUGUCUCCUACGACAACAACGACGGCAGUUGGAACGCCAAGACCAUGAGCUGGAACUCGACAACCAUGGUGGACCAGGAGGUGAAAGAGUUGUUGAGCAAGGCUUACAAGAACGCAAAGACGAUCCUCGCGGCGAACAAGCGGGAGCUCCAUGCGCUCGCUGUCGCCCUCCUGGAGCACGAGACCCUAACCGGAGACCAGAUCACGGCGCUCCUGAAUGAAACUCUCGCCAAAGACCAGACCGUGAAACCGGCAUCCGCUGGCCGCAAGAGGACGAAGAAGAAGUAA